RNAcentral lists this ribosomal RNA (253 nucleotides) under uncultured bacterium. RNAcentral's name for it is "partial 16S ribosomal RNA". It matches the Rfam family "Bacterial small subunit ribosomal RNA", at positions 524 to 776 of the family's 1533-position model. The record is from RNAcentral.
UACGUAGGGCGCAAGCGUUAUCCGGAAUUAUUGGGCGUAAAGCGUGCGCAGGCGGUUCGUUAUGUCCGUUGUGAAAGCCCCGGGCUCAACCUGGGAAUGGCAAUGGAAACUGGCGAGCUAGAGUGUGGCAGAGGGGGGUGGAAUUCCGCGUGUAGCAGUGAAAUGCGUAGAGAUGCGGAGGAACACCGAUGGCGAAGGCAGCCCCCUGGGCUAGCACUGACGCUCAGGCACGAAAGCGUGGGGAGCAAACAGG